Olea europaea var. sylvestris is the source of this 1317-nucleotide RNA transcript. RefSeq lists it as uncharacterized. The transcript has 6 exons. Lineage: Eukaryota; Viridiplantae; Streptophyta; Magnoliopsida; Lamiales; Oleaceae. The record is from RefSeq and is a predicted model, not a curated record.
UUAAUAUAUAAUUUCCUCUUUCUUCUCUCUCUCUCUAUAUUCUGGCAUCUCUCUCUAUCGGAAAGGACCGCUGGAGUGAAGCCACUGGAAGCCGUCUGAGUGAAGCGGCCUGACACCACCACUGUGCCUCGUUAUCUCGCCUCGUUCAAACAUUUGUUUCAAUUGUCAAACCUUAGCUCGAGAUCUAGAUUCCUGUCUUGAUUCAUUGUAUCUCUCUUUUCCUCUUGCAGGUUAUUUUGUUUGGGAAGCAAAAUGAAUGAAAUAAUGAAAGAAUUCCAGCAAGGCCUCAUUGAAGUUGAAAUGGAAGCUGAAAAUCUUCUAUUAGCUCGCCAUCAGUUGGUUGAAAAUGACAGAGUGAGACAGGGGAAUAGGGAAGCUUUGACGGCAUUAAGAAGGAGAGCUCAAACGACAAAGACUAGUGUCCCUUUGCCGUUCGAGUCAAUAAUGAGGGAUGUUGAAUCAAGGCCGCUGGUGAAAGAAAUCUGUGCAAGCUGUGGUGAUCACGAUUCAAAAGAGAAGACAUGGUUAAUGUUUCCGGGCACUGAUCUUUUCGCCAGCAUUCCAUUCCAUGCUGCUCAUACCAUUUUAGAGAAAGCAUUUCAGACGUCAUUCGAUGUUGGGAGGAAAAGAUACGUUUUUCCUAUGGAUGGUAGCAUCGAGUUCACCAACCAGGCUAUGACCAUGGAGUUUUCAGAUUGCCAUUUCAAUAGAUGAGAGGUGUCAGUUGGCUUCUUCGCUGCUUCGGUCAGAUCAAACACAUAUUGAUUACGAAUCUAAAAAACUUCAAAGCUAUGUCAAAGAAAAGUCAUUUUCGAUUUCCGAAAAGGGUGUUCUUGCUGACAAGAUCAGUCCAGGUGUACUUAGAGCUCUGGUUACUUUAACUGACAAGCCAAAGGUUGAGGAGGAAGAUUAAUAGUUGCAUUAAUCAUUGGAUUCUGCUGAAGGUUGGCUAUAUGUUGACUCCAAAUUUCAUUUCCAGUGGUUUUUCCUCUGCCUUUCUGUUGUCCUUUCUUAAAUCAAGCACUGGGGCUAUUUUAGUGUACUAAUCCAUAAAUGGAUGGAUAUCUAAAUCAGAGAAGUGCAUCUUCCUUCUAAGACUGAAUAAUAGCUUGAUUAUUAUCGGUGUCGGAGAAAAGGGCUCUUUCCCGGAGCAAGGGACUUCUAAGGGUAACGGGAAAGGCUUUCUGAGAAAAUGUUUAGGACUCCCUGCUGGAUGUUUGCUCUUUUAUCUCUUGUAAUAUGUUUAAAUUACUAUGACAUGCCCAUCUCUUAUUUGAUAAUUAUUGAGUUAUGCAUCAAUCUUCAGUGUUUUCAUGA